Molecule: ribosomal RNA, 440 nt
Filed under: uncultured bacterium
Lineage: Bacteria
Description: bacterial SSU rRNA
Rfam family: Bacterial small subunit ribosomal RNA
Source: RNAcentral
CCUACGGGAGGCAGCAGUGGGGAAUUGUUCGCAAUGGGCGCAAGCCUGACGACGCAACGCCGCGUGGAGGAUGAAGGUCUUCGGAUUGUAAACUCCUGUCGAACGGGACGAACACCUUUCCGGUUAAUACCUGGAGAGGCUGACGGUACCGUGAGAGGAAGCCCCGGCUAACUCUGUGCCAGCAGCCGCGGUAAUACAGAGGGGGCAAGCGUUGUUCGGAAUUACUGGGCGUAAAGGGCGCGUAGGCGGCCUUCUAAGUCAGACGUGAAAUCCCUCGGCUCAACCGGGGAACUGCGUCUGAGACUGGAAGGCUUGAAUCCGGGAGAGGGAUGUGGAAUUCCAGGUGUAGCGGUGAAAUGCGUAGAUAUCUGGAGGAACACCGGUGGCGAAGGCGGCAUCCUGGACCGGCAUUGACGCUGAGGCGCGAAAGCCAGGGGAGC